CCUACGUGUGGCAGCAGUGGGGAAUAUUGCGCAAUGGGCGAAAGCCUGACGCAGCGACGCCGCGUGAGGGAUGAAGGUCUUCGGAUCGUAAACCUCUGUCAGCAGGGAAGAACGGUCACUGUGCUAAUCAGCAGUGAAUUGACGGUACCUGCAAAGGAAGCACCGGCUAACUCCGUGCCAGCAGCCGCGGUAAUACGGAGGGGCCUUUCGUUAAUCGGAUUUACUUGGCGUAAAGCGCUCGUAGGCGGUAUGUCAAGUCAAGGGUGAAAUCCCCGCGCUCAACGUGGGAACUGCCUUUGAAACUGGCAAACUGGAGUGGGUGAGAGGAUAGUGGAA
Molecule: ribosomal RNA, 336 nt
Filed under: uncultured bacterium
Lineage: Bacteria
Description: partial 16S ribosomal RNA
Rfam family: Bacterial small subunit ribosomal RNA
Source: RNAcentral